RNAcentral lists this ribosomal RNA (253 nucleotides) under uncultured bacterium. RNAcentral's name for it is "partial 16S ribosomal RNA". It matches the Rfam family "Bacterial small subunit ribosomal RNA", at positions 524 to 776 of the family's 1533-position model. The record is from RNAcentral.
UACGUAGGGUGCGAGCGUUAAUCGGAAUUACUGGGCGUAAAGCGUGCGCAGGCGGUUCGUUAAGUCAGCUGUGAAAGCCCCGGGCUCAACCUGGGAACGGCAGUUGAAACUGGCGGGCUGGAGUGUGGCAGAGGGGGGUGGAAUUCCAGGUGUAGCGGUGAAAUGCGUAGAUAUCUGGAGGAACACCGGUGGCGAAGGCGGCUUCCUGGACCGACACUGACGCUGAGGCGCGAAAGCCAGGGGAGCAAACGGG